GAUGAACGCUAGCUACAGGCUUAACACAUGCAAGUCGAGGGGAAACGAUAUUGGAAGCUUGCUUCCGAUAGGCGUCGACCGGCGCACGGGUGAGUAACGCGUAUCCAACCUGCCCACCACUUGGGGAUAACCUUGCGAAAGUAAGACUAAUACCCAAUGACGUCCAUAGAAGACAUCUGAAAUGGAUUAAAGAUUUAUCGGUGAUGGAUGGGGAUGCGUCUGAUUAGCUUGUUGGCGGGGUAACGGCCCACCAAGGCGACGAUCAGUAGGGGGUCUGAGAGGAAGGUCCCCCACAUUUGAACUGAGACACGGUCCAAACUCCUACGGGAGGCAGCAGUGAGGAAUAUUGGUCAAUGGGCGAGAGCCUGAACCAGCCAAGUAGCGUGCAGGAUGACGGCCCUAUGGGUUGUAAACUGCUUUUAUAAGGGAAUAAAGUGAGCCUCGUGAGGCUUUUUGCAUGUACCUUAUGAAUAAGGACCGACUAAUUCCGUGCCAGCCGCCGCGGUAA
Molecule: ribosomal RNA, 508 nt
Filed under: uncultured bacterium
Lineage: Bacteria
Description: partial 16S ribosomal RNA
Rfam family: Bacterial small subunit ribosomal RNA
Source: RNAcentral